UGUUGUUAAGGAACUCGGCAAAAUGACCCCGUAACUUAGGGAUAAGGGGUGCCACCAUCAGGUGGCCGCAGAGAAUAGGCCCAAGCGACUGUUUACCAAAAACAUAGGUUUCUGCUAAGUCGCAAGAUGAUGUAUAGGAGCUGACGCCUGCCCGGUGCUGGAAGGUUAAGGGGAUCUGUUAGAGCAAUCGAAGCAGUGAACUUAAGCCCCAGUAAACGGCGGCCGUAACUAUAACGGUCCUAAGGUAGCGAAAUUCCUUGUCGGGUAAGUUCCGACCCGCACGAAAGGCGUAACGAUUUGGGCACUGUC
RNAcentral lists this ribosomal RNA (309 nucleotides) under Clostridioides difficile. RNAcentral describes it as "partial 23S ribosomal RNA". It matches the Rfam family "Bacterial large subunit ribosomal RNA", at positions 1700 to 2020 of the family's 2925-position model. Lineage: Bacteria; Bacillati; Bacillota; Clostridia; Peptostreptococcales; Peptostreptococcaceae. The record is from RNAcentral.